UGUAGAUCUGCCCGAUGAAGGCUUGCGGACGCGGGUUCAAUUCCCGCCAGCUCCACCA
Molecule: transfer-messenger RNA, 58 nt
Filed under: Alcaligenaceae bacterium
Lineage: Bacteria; Pseudomonadati; Pseudomonadota; Betaproteobacteria; Burkholderiales; Alcaligenaceae
Rfam family: transfer-messenger RNA
About the family: Bacterial tmRNA, also known as 10Sa RNA or SsrA, is named for its dual tRNA and mRNA-like properties.
Source: Rfam by way of RNAcentral